UUAAUUCUUGAGGUUUUGCAUGAAGAAUUCCUAUAAAGAACAGGUCCACAUAGCGGAGUCUAGCUAUUGGUUUAACUUGAUUGUAUUAGGAGUCUUCUUCGAAUUCUAAUUAUCUAUGAUUCAUAGUUUUAGUAUGUUAUAAAUUGGAUUGGAAGUUAGUCAUUAAGUUGGGAUAACUUGAAGGCCUGGAUAUACGAGUCAUGAGAGGUUUGUAUGUUGUUAGAAAUUAGAGUUUAUAAUUCCUUUUUAAGUUCCAAAGUAAAUAAUCGUUUGUUUGAGUGGCUCC
This 286-nucleotide long non-coding RNA is filed under the name Capsicum annuum. RNAcentral's name for it is "long non-coding RNA (CANN_LNC007691)". Lineage: Eukaryota; Viridiplantae; Streptophyta; Magnoliopsida; Solanales; Solanaceae. The record is from RNAcentral.